RNAcentral lists this ribosomal RNA (501 nucleotides) under uncultured bacterium. RNAcentral describes it as "partial 16S ribosomal RNA". It matches the Rfam family "Bacterial small subunit ribosomal RNA", at positions 30 to 523 of the family's 1533-position model. The record is from RNAcentral.
AUUGAACGCUGGCGGCAGGCUUAACACAUGCAAUUCGAGCGGGGGAAGGUAGCUUGCUACCGGACCUAGCGGCGGACGGGUGAGUAAUGCUUAGGAAUCUGCGUAUUAGUGGGGGACAAACGCUCGCAAGGGAGGCUAAUACCUCAUACGUCCGAAGGGAGACAGCAGGGGAUCUUCGGACCUUGCCCUAAUAGCUGAGCCUAAGUCGGAUUAUCUAGGUGGUGGGGUAAAGGCCUACCAAGGCGACGAGCUGUAGCGGGUCUGAGAGGAUGAUCCGCCACACUGGGACUGAGACACGGCCCAGACUCCUACGGGAGGCAGCAGUGAGGAAUAUUGGACAAUGGGGGGAACCCUGAUCCAGCCAUGCCGCGUGUGUGAAGAAGGCCUUAUGGUUGUAAAGCACUUUAAGCGAGGAGGAGGCUACUUUAGUUAAUACCUGGAGAUAGUGGACGUUAAUCGCAGAAUAAGCACCGGCUAACUCUGUGCCAGCAGCCGCGGUAA